Osmerus eperlanus (European smelt) is the source of this 782-nucleotide long non-coding RNA. RefSeq lists it as uncharacterized. The record is from RefSeq and is a predicted model, not a curated record. NCBI's taxonomy places the organism in Eukaryota, Metazoa, Chordata, Actinopteri, Osmeriformes, Osmeridae. The transcript is spliced from 3 exons.
UUGUUCAGAUUCUUUGCAUACCUGGACCAGGCGAAACCUUUUAGGGAUUGAAAGAGAACCACACCAUGAAGGAAGAACAUGCACUUUCACAGCCGACAGACUGACAUUGUGAAAAUGGUUCGUGAAAACAACACUAUCACACUCCGACAGAUACAAACCAGGAUCCUGGCUGAUCAUGCCACAUUCAGAAACAUCCAGACCGUCAGCCUCUCGACACUGGACCGUGUUCUCUGCAGGAAUGCCAUGCGGAUGAAACAAGUGUGCAGGGUCCCAUUCGACCGGAACACAGACCACAUCAAGGAGUUACGGCGAGAGUUUGUGCUUCGGAUCCAGGAGCAUGACAAAGCUAAUGAGCUAUAUGAAUACAUAUUCAUUGAUGAGGUUGGAUUCAACCUGGUGAAGAGGAGGCACCGGGGCAGACAUGUCAUUGGCCAGCGUGCUAUUGUUGAGGUCCCCGGCCAGCGUGGUGGGAACAUCACUUUGUGUGCUGCAAUGGGUUGAGCAGGCCCGUUGACAGUACUGUACUGUUCAGAAAUAAAACUUUUUUUGCUGCAUAUGUGUGCUGUUUUAUGUUCGACUAUGAAAAAAAGUAGGCCUACACUGAGACAUUUUACAAAAGGAGAAAUGGCUCAUUCUCCAGAGUCAUUGUCAUUCAUAUAGGCCGCAAGGUGAACCAAAAGUAUUUUAGAAAAUGAUUCCCACUCCACAGUCUGGCAUCUACACAAUAUGUAGCUCAUAAAAAAGAACGAGUCGUGCUUAGCUACGAAAAAAAAGUUUGUCGC